UAGGGAAUCUUCUGCAAUGGACGAAAGUCUGACCGAGCAACGCCGCGUGAGUGAAGAAGGUUUUCGGAUCGUAAAACUCUGUUGUUAGAGAAGAACAAGGACGUUAGUAACUGAACGUCCCCUGACGGUAUCUAACCAGAAAGCCACGGCUAACUACGUGCCAGCAGCCGCGGUAAUACGUAGGUGGCAAGCGUUGUCCGGUUUUAUUGGGCGUAAAGCGAGCGCAGGCGGUUUCUUAAGUCUGAUGUGAAAGCCCCCGGCUCAACCGGGGAGGGUCAUUGUAAACUGGGAGACUUGAGUGCAGAAGAGGAGAGUGGAAUUCCAUGUGGAGCGAUGAAAUGCGUAGAUAUAUGGAAGAACACCAGUGGCGAAAGCGGCUCUCUGGUCUGUAACUGACGCUGAGGCUCGAAAGCGUGGGGAGCAAACAGG
RNAcentral lists this ribosomal RNA (429 nucleotides) under Gemmatimonadota bacterium. RNAcentral's name for it is "Gemmatimonadetes bacterium partial 16S ribosomal RNA". It matches the Rfam family "Bacterial small subunit ribosomal RNA", at positions 355 to 776 of the family's 1533-position model. The record is from RNAcentral. Lineage: Bacteria; Pseudomonadati; Gemmatimonadota.